GCCUGGGUGGUGGAAUAGGUAGACACAAGGGACUUAAAAUCCCUCGGAGAUUAUCUCUGUACGAGUUCGAUUCUCGUCCCAGGCACCA
This 88-nucleotide transfer RNA is filed under the name Desulforapulum autotrophicum HRM2. Its description in RNAcentral is "tRNA-Leu (TAA) (tRNA-Leu-TAA-1-1)". It matches the Rfam family "tRNA". Rfam says of the family: Transfer RNA (tRNA) molecules are approximately 80 nucleotides in length. Their secondary structure includes four short double-helical elements and three loops (D, anti-codon, and T loops). The record is from RNAcentral. RNAcentral also lists the same sequence under 1 other name. Lineage: Bacteria; Pseudomonadati; Thermodesulfobacteriota; Desulfobacteria; Desulfobacterales; Desulfobacteraceae.